GCGAGGUGAGCCAGCUGGGAACGGCGCCUUCCCCACAAGAAGGACUCGAUAGGUUCGAUUCCUAUACCUCGCACCA
This 76-nucleotide transfer RNA is filed under the name Myxococcales bacterium. RNAcentral's name for it is "tRNA-Val". Lineage: Bacteria; Pseudomonadati; Myxococcota; Myxococcia; Myxococcales. RNAcentral also lists the same sequence under 1 other name. The record is from RNAcentral.